Long non-coding RNA from Tachyglossus aculeatus (Australian echidna), 412 nucleotides. RefSeq lists it as uncharacterized. The transcript is spliced from 3 exons. NCBI's taxonomy places the organism in Eukaryota, Metazoa, Chordata, Mammalia, Monotremata, Tachyglossidae. The record is from RefSeq and is a predicted model, not a curated record.
CGGCCCUUCUUCCAGCUGAGAGCUCGAGCAGAGUAUGCGGGGAGCAACAGCAGCAGGAGGGCUGAUGGUCUUUAGGGGAAUGAAGACACAAAUCUGCACGAGGUGAUUUGGAGGCAUCUUGGAAGCUGGAGAAUGGAAGAGAUAACUUCUCGAAAUCAGUUCCAGUUCUAGGAUCCUGUAAAUCAACACAAUCUGCUGACUGGAAGAGAGCAGCCUCUGCCUUCUCCAUCUGCUUGCUUAAGCCCCCCAGAAGUCAGCAGCACUGGGUCAGAAGUCAGGGACUUGGGAUGCUUACAGCAUGCUCUGUGCCUCCCUCUGGGGAUUCGUUUGAAGCAAGUCUUCAUCCUCAAACAGGAGAUGACAAGAGGCUUUAUCAGUAAGUAUCCACCUUACCCAGAAAACCAGGAGUUGG